UAUUUAUUUAUUUAGAUUUAAAGCCUAUAUUUUUUACUUAGACGUGUUAUUUAGAAUUCAUUCCUCAGCCAUUAAACUCGUCUCCAUGGUAACGCCAUAAAUCCCAUAGAGCACAAUUUUACGUCGCGUGGAGCGUUCACGGUAAAAGGUUCGCGCGCCCCAGAGACGGUAAACUCCGAAAUCUACGUAAAGAGGAAGCGCUUUGGCUCUUUCCAAAAUGGCGGCCACCAUAGAGAACAAUAGCGCUGCAGCUGCGAAUAAGAAAAAACAUUUAGGAAUUCCUGAAGCAGUGUUUGUAGAGGAUGUGGAUUCGUUUAUGAAGAAGCCCGGCAACGACACGGCGGACGUCGUACUGAGGAAGCUUGAUGAACAGUACCAGAAAUAUAAA
Ictalurus punctatus (channel catfish) is the source of this 388-nucleotide long non-coding RNA. RefSeq lists it as uncharacterized. The transcript has 2 exons. The record is from RefSeq and is a predicted model, not a curated record. NCBI's taxonomy places the organism in Eukaryota, Metazoa, Chordata, Actinopteri, Siluriformes, Ictaluridae.